This 460-nucleotide ribosomal RNA is filed under the name uncultured bacterium. RNAcentral describes it as "partial 16S ribosomal RNA". It matches the Rfam family "Bacterial small subunit ribosomal RNA", at positions 338 to 795 of the family's 1533-position model. The record is from RNAcentral.
CCUACGGGUGGCAGCAGUGAGGAAUAUUGGUCAAUGGACGAGAGUCUGAACCAGCCAAGUAGCGUGAAGGAUGACUGCCCUAUGGGUUGUAAACUUCUUUUAUAUGGGAAUAAAACAGGGUAUGCAUACCAUCUUGUAUGUACCAUAUGAAUAAGGAUCGGCUAACUCCGUGCCAGCAGCCGCGGUAAUACGGAGGAUCCGAGCGUUAUCCGGAUUUAUUGGGUUUAAAGGGAGCGUAGGUGGAUUGUUAAGUCAGUUGUGAAAGUUUGCGGCUCAACCGUAAAAUUGCAGUUGAAACUGGCAGUCUGGAGUACAGUAGAGGUGGGCGGAAUGCGUGGUGUAGCGGUGAAAUGCUUAGAUAUCACGAAGAACUCCGAUUGCGAAGGCAGCUCACUGGACUGCAACUGACACUGAUGCUCGAAAGUGUGGGUAUCAAACAGGAUUAGAUACCCGAGUAGUC